This 1485-nucleotide ribosomal RNA is filed under the name metagenome. RNAcentral describes it as "bacterial SSU rRNA". It matches the Rfam family "Bacterial small subunit ribosomal RNA". The record is from RNAcentral.
AGAGUUUGAUCCUGGCUCGGGAUGAACGCUGGCGGCGUGCUUAACACAUGCAAGUCGAACGAGGAAUUUUAAAUGAGACUUCGGUGGAUUUUAGAAUUCUUAGUGGCGGACGGGUGAGUAACGCGUGGGCAACCUGCCCUGUACAGGGGGACAACAGCUGGAAACGGCUGCUAAUACCGCAUAAGCGCACAGCAUCGCAUGAUGCCGUGUGAAAAACUCCGGUGGUACAGGAUGGGCCCGCGUUGGAUUAGGUAGUUGGUGAGGUAACGGCCCACCAAGCCGACAAUCCAUAGCCGACCUGAGAGGGUGACCGGCCACAUUGGGACUGAGACACGGCCCAAACUCCUACGGGAGGCAGCAGUGGGGAAUAUUGCACAAUGGGGGAAACCCUGAUGCAGCGACGCCGCGUGAGCGAAGAAGUAUUUCGGUAUGUAAAGCUCUAUCAGCAGGGAAGAAAAUGACGGUACCUGACUAAGAAGCCCCGGCUAACUACGUGCCAGCAGCCGCGGUAAUACGUAGGGGGCAAGCGUUACCCGGAUUUACUGGGUGUAAAGGGAGCGUAGACGGCUUUGCAAGUCUGAUGUGAAAGGCGGGGGCUCAACUCCUGGACUGCAUUGGAAACUGUGAGGCUUGAGUGCCGGAGAGGUAAGCGGAAUUCCUAGUGUAGCGGUGAAAUGCGUAGAUAUUAGGAGGAACACCAGUGGCGAAGGCGGCUUACUGGACGGUAACUGACGUUGAGGCUCGAAAGCGUGGGGAGCAAACAGGAUUAGAUACCCUGGUAGUCCACGCGGUAAACGAUGAAUACUAGGUGUUGGGUGUCACAGACAUUCGGUGCCGCAGCAAACGCAAUAAGUAUUCCACCUGGGGAGUACGACCGCAAGGUUGAAACUCAAAGGAAUUGACGGGGGCCCGCACAAGCAGUGGAGUAUGUGGUUUAAUUCGAGGCAACGCGAAGAACCUUACCAGGUCUUGACAUCCAACUAACGAAGUAGAGAUACAUUAGGUGCCCUUCGGGGAAAGUUGAGACAGGUGGUGCAUGGUUGUCGUCAGCUCGUGUCGUGAGAUGUUGGGUUAAGUCCCGCAACGAGCGCAACCCUUGCCAUUAGUUGCUACGGUAACGAGCACUCUAAUGGGACUGCCGUUGACAAAACGGAGGAAGGUGGGGACGACGUCAAAUCAUCAUGCCCCUUAUGACCUGGGCUACACACGUACUACAAUGGCCAUUAACAGAGGGAAGCGAAACCGCGAGGUGGAGCAAAACCCUAAAAAUGGUCUCAGUUCAGAUUGCAGGCUGCAACCCGCCUGCAUGAAGUCGGAAUUGCUAGUAAUCGCGGAUCAGCAUGCCGCGGUGAAUACGUUCCCGGGCCUUGUACACACCGCCCGUCACACCAUGGGAGCCGGUAAUACCCGAAGUCAGUGGUCUAACCGUAAGGAGGACGCUGCCGAAGGUAGGAUUGGCGACUGGGGUGAAGUCGUAACAAGGUA